CAAAGCCAGCAACAUGAGUGGAACUCAGGAGAGUCCUGGUCCCAAUGACGACACUGAUCCUGAGCCUCGUGUGGUCCAGAAGGCCUUCAGUACAACAACAACAACCACCACAGAAAGCCCCACAGCAGCACAACUAGCUGACCCAGAGAGAGAGGUCACAGAAAGCCCCACGGCAGCACAACUAGCUGACCCAGAGAGAGAGGUCACAGAAAGCCCCACGGCAGCACAACUAGCUGACCCAGAGAGAGAGGUCACAGAAAGCCCCACGGCAGCACAACUAGCUGACCCAGAGAGAGAGGUCACAGAAAGCCCCACGGCAGCACAACUAGCUGACCCAGAGAGAGAGGUCACAGAAAGCCCCACGGCAGCACAACUAGCUGACCCAGAGAGAGAGGUCACAGAAAGCCCCACGGCAGCACAACUAGCUGACCCAGAGAGAGAGGUCACAGAAAGCCCCACGGCAGCACAACUAGCUGACCCAGAGAGAGAGGUCACAGAAAGCCCCACAGCAGCACAACUAGCUGACCCAGAGAGAGAGGUCACAGAAA
This is a long non-coding RNA of Oncorhynchus keta (chum salmon), 548 nucleotides long. RefSeq lists it as uncharacterized. The transcript has 3 exons. The record is from RefSeq and is a predicted model, not a curated record. NCBI's taxonomy places the organism in Eukaryota, Metazoa, Chordata, Actinopteri, Salmoniformes, Salmonidae.